This 1756-nucleotide long non-coding RNA is filed under the name Aotus nancymaae (Ma's night monkey). Its description in RNAcentral is "lncRNA (ENSANAG00000039119.1)". Lineage: Eukaryota; Metazoa; Chordata; Mammalia; Primates; Aotidae. The record is from RNAcentral.
AGGCAGGAGAAUGGCUUGAAUCCAAGUGUCAGAGGUUGCAGCGAGCCGAGAUUGUGCCAUUGCACUCCAGCCUGGGCAACUGAGUGGGCACUGUCUCAAAAAAAAAAAAAUUUUUUUUUUUUUUUUGUUGGUAAUUUUUCUUUUUUUCAGACAGUUUCCCUCUCAUCUCCUGGGCUGGAGUGCAAUGGUGUGAUCUCAGCUCACUGAGACCUCUGCUUCCCUAGUUCAAGUGAUUCUGCUGCCUCAGCCUCCGGAGUAGCUGGAAAUCCAGGCCCUCACCACCACACCNNNNNNNNNNNNNNNNNNNNNNNNNUGGGAGUUUCUAUAGUUGGCCUUGUCCUCCGAAGAAUUAUCUUCUGUGCAAUCAAGUUUCUACUUGAUUAUUUGUAUCUUCGGCAUGACUUUCCUGGUGUUAUGUGGAGGAUUAUCAGUACGGUGUUUCUGGGAGUUUCUAUAGUUGGCCUUUUACUCCGAGGAAGUAUCUUCUGUGUGGUCACGUUUCUUCUUGAAUAUUUGUAUUUUGGGAAGGACCUCCUUGUGCUUCUGUGGAGAAUUAUCAUUACUGUGUUUCUAGCAGAUUCUACAGUUGGCCUUUUCUUCCAAAGAAUUAUCUUCUGUGUGAGUAUACUAACUUCCUGUGGAGGUAUACUUCUAAUCAAAAGAAGAAAUUAUUUCAAACAAUUCAUGGUUCUGGAUUUUAUUAUGAAUUAUCUGUUUUACCAAAAACAUCAGGGAAGUCAUUUAUUAGCGUAAGAAUUAUAAAAAUAUCCGCCAUUUACAUUAUGAAAAUUAAACAGGUUGAUGUUUGUUGCUUUGGGUCAAAAAUAAGUUUUUUUAAAACUUUAUGGUCUUUAUCAGAAGUGGAGUAUGAAAUUUUGGCACUUAAAUAGGAAAUUCCGUCUAAACUUUUCUGCUUUAUAAUUCUGUUGUAUGGCUGGAAGGAAAGCUUUCACUGUCCUCUCUAAUGGUUCAUUGCAGAAAUGAGCUAACAACAGACAGCUUAACAGGAGAGGAAAAGCAUAGAACAGGCAUANNNNNNNNNNUAACUUCCAAUCUGUUUUGAAACAGUGGAAUCCCCUGGUGAUAUCUGAGGGGUGUGGUUUCCUCUUGGAGGAGGUUGAUGGUUUCUAAAGAUUAUUAUUAUUUACUGAAAUAUUAUCAAUGUCAUUGACCUUUUCAUUAUUUCAACUGUUACUAUUCCAGGUGGUCACGUUUCUUCUUGAAUAUUUGUAUUUUGGGAAGGACCUCCUUGUGCUUCUGUGGAGAAUUAUCAUUACUGUGUUUCUAGCAGAUUCUACAGUUGGCCUUUUCUUCCAAAGAAUUAUCUUCUGUGUGAGUAUACUAACUUCCUGUGGAGGUAUACUUCUAAUCAAAAGAAGAAAUUAUUUCAAACAAUUCAUGGUUCUGGAUUUUAUUAUGAAUUAUCUGUUUUACCAAAAACAUCAGGGAAGUCAUUUAUUAGCGUAAGAAUUAUAAAAAUAUCCGCCAUUUACAUUAUGAAAAUUAAACAGGUUGAUGUUUGUUGCUUUGGGUCAAAAAUAAGUUUUUUUAAAACUUUAUGGUCUUUAUCAGAAGUGGAGUAUGAAAUUUUGGCACUUAAAUAGGAAAUUCCGUCUAAACUUUUCUGCUUUAUAAUUCUGUUGUAUGGCUGGAAGGAAAGCUUUCACUGUCCUCUCUAAUGGUUCAUUGCAGAAAUGAGCUAACAACAGACAGCUUAACAGGAGAGGAAAAGCAUAGAACAGGCAUAAACAUGGGA